UGGAUCGCCCUUAGAGUUUGAUCCUGGCUCAGGACGAACGCUGGCGGCGUGCCUAACACAUGCAAGUCGAGCGGAGUUACAUGAGGAGUAAUCUGAGUGUAACUGAGCGGCGGACGGGUGAGUAACGCGUGAGCAACCUGCCUUCCACAGGGGGAUAACGUACCGAAAGGUACACUAAUACCGCAUGAGACCACGGUACCGAUGGUAGUGGGGUCAAAGGAGCAAUCCGGUGGGAGAUGGGCUCGCGUCCGAUUAGGUAGUUGGCGGGGUAACGGCCCACCAAGCCUGUGAUCGGUAGCCGGCCUGAGAGGGUGAACGGCCACAUUGGAACUGAGAGACGGUCCAAACUCCUACGGGAGGCAGCAGUGGGGAAUAUUGGGCAAUGGGGGGAACCCUGACCCAGCAACGCUGCGUGAGGGAAGAAGGUUUUCGGAUUGUAAACCUCUGUUCUUGGAGAAGAGUGGAAGACGGUAUCCAAGGAGGAAGCCCCGGCUAACUACGUGCCAGCAGCCGCGGUAAUACGUAGGGGGCGAGCGUUGUCCGGAAUGAUUGGGCGUAAAGGGCGCGCAGGCGGCCAUUCAAGUCAGUAGUGGAAGUCCAUUUUUCAAGGGUGGAAGUGCUAUUGAAACUGUAUGGCUUGAGUGCGGGGAGAGGUUAUCGGAAUUCCCGGUGUAGCGGUGAAAUGCGUAGAGAUCGGGAGGAACACCAGUGGCGAAGGCGGGUAACUGGACCGCACUGACGCUGAGGCGCGAAAGUGUGGGGAGCAAACAGGAUAGAUACCCUGGUAGUCCACACGGUAAACGAUGAAUGCUACGUGUAGGGGUAUCGACCCCUUCUGUGCCGCAGUUAAACACAGUAGGCUUCCGCCUGGGGAGUACGGUCGGCAGAUUA
Molecule: ribosomal RNA, 891 nt
Filed under: uncultured Guggenheimella sp.
Lineage: Bacteria; Bacillati; Bacillota; Clostridia; Peptostreptococcales; Guggenheimellaceae
Description: bacterial SSU rRNA
Rfam family: Bacterial small subunit ribosomal RNA
Source: RNAcentral